GCAGCUACUGGCCCCCAGCCCAUGGGACCGUAGUCGUGGAGGCCUCUGCAGAGGCGCAGGCUGGAAGCGGUGGCCUUUGAGGGGGGCGGCAGGAGAGAGUACCGACCUCCCUCGAACUCCUGGCAGAGAGAGCUGGCGGUCACCAUGGCAAUGCGGGAGCUGGUGGAGGCCGAAUGCGGGGGUGCCAACCCGCUCAUGAAGCUCGCCGGGCACUUCACCCAGGACAAGGCCCUUCGGCAGGAGGGAUUGAGGCCUGGCCCCUGGCCCCCCGGAGCCCCAGCCUCUGAGGCAGUGAGUGUUCUUGCGGUGGAAAGCCCAGGUGCAGCCUCUGAGGCAGUGGGUGUUGCUGAGGUGGAAAGCCCAGGUGGUGGUGGUCUGAGGCGGGGGGGCUGUUUGCGCAUCUUGGUAUAACCGCUUUCUCUACUGGGUUGCAAAUCAUAGUAGUUACCACUUACUGAGCGUUUAUAAACACUAGAAAACCCUGUGCACCUUUAAAUAAAUGCAACCAUUUUAUA
This 515-nucleotide small RNA is filed under the name Pan troglodytes (chimpanzee). Its description in RNAcentral is "retained intron". The record is from RNAcentral. Lineage: Eukaryota; Metazoa; Chordata; Mammalia; Primates; Hominidae.